This 74-nucleotide transfer RNA is filed under the name Pelodiscus sinensis (Chinese soft-shelled turtle). It matches the Rfam family "tRNA". Rfam says of the family: Transfer RNA (tRNA) molecules are approximately 80 nucleotides in length. Their secondary structure includes four short double-helical elements and three loops (D, anti-codon, and T loops). The record is from Rfam by way of RNAcentral. Lineage: Eukaryota; Metazoa; Chordata; Testudines; Trionychidae.
GGCAUGAUGGCUUAGCUGGCUAAAGCAGCUGUCUUGUAAACAAAAGAUCCUGGGUUCAACUUCCAGUAGUGACU